Molecule: non-coding RNA, 45 nt
Organism: Schistosoma rodhaini
Lineage: Eukaryota; Metazoa; Platyhelminthes; Trematoda; Strigeidida; Schistosomatidae
Source: Rfam
AUCCAGAUGACGAGUCCCAAAUAGGACGAAACGUGCGUCCUGGAU